This 11854-nucleotide long non-coding RNA is filed under the name Capsicum annuum. RNAcentral describes it as "long non-coding RNA (CANN_LNC012009)". Lineage: Eukaryota; Viridiplantae; Streptophyta; Magnoliopsida; Solanales; Solanaceae. The record is from RNAcentral.
AUGCGCCCCAUAUGCUCCACAAAUGCUCAAGCAUGUGCUUAAUGGGCUUCUAUUUUUUGUCUUUCCUAAAUGGGUCACUUUUUGGCCUAUAUGAUGUAAUAACUUAGCCUAGACUAUCAAUAGGACGUCUUUUCAUUUUAGUAAGUAGUUAUUGAUGAAUUAUGAAUGUAAACACUUGUGAAAGUGUGAGGCAAGCUUGGAUUAGCUUGUGGCAAGCGUGGAAUCGCUUGUGUUGAUUCAUCGUUUAGAAACGUGGGUUGCUCGGGAAUCCAAUUCCCUUGAGGUCUACGUAGGAGAUUAGGUGCUUUGUGUGACAUUGAAUAGAGCGUUUAGGGUUUGAUACACUCUUUAUUUGUUAUUCAUUCAUCCAUUGUGUCUAUCUAUUAUUUGAUCUCUAUCUAUCCUUACCUUUUGUUUUCGUAUCGUAGUUUAGUUUUCGAUUCCGUACUUUGUUCGUAUAUCAGAUAUUAACUCAAAUAAGGAUUGAUAGUGUUUAUGACAAAGAACUACUUUUUUUUAGAAAAGGGUAACUUCGUAUUCACACGAAAAAAUCAUCAUCCAAAAAACGAUGAAUUGGAAACUUAAAUCCCGCAAAGUGGUGGGCACACCCCAUCAAAGUAUUCUUAUAAGUUUCCUAUAAAAUCCCCUAAUUCUAUUGUCUCCCCUUUCAAUUCUUGUUUACACCCGAAAAAAAAAAGACUUAUACUCUUCAUCUUAAUCUUCUGUAUGUUGGUCUUCUGAUCUUCUAAGGACCCCUACCAUUCCUUUCUCUCCACAAGGUCCACCAUAUGCAUGCUGGAAUUGUUCUCCACCAAUCUUCUUCUCUCCCUCUUUUACCAAUUCCCGAACAGUUCUCCAGCAACUCUAGGGUUGUAUUAGGCAUCACCCAGCUGACUCCUCAAAUGCACAAAAAGAUGUUCCAUAGGCUUGUGGCAGUAUUGCAAUGUAGGAACAAAUGAUUGGUAGCUUCUGCUUCCUUCCUGCUCACACAUAAAGCAUCUAGAACAUAUCUGCCAUCCUCUCUUCUGCAAUGCCUCAUGAGUGAGGCAUGCUUUCCUGCACACUAACCAAGUGAAGCAUGAUACUUCCGGGGGCGUCUGGAUUUCCAAAUUGUCUGCCAAGGCCAUGUGUUUGUUGCUGUCCGGCUAGAAUUGAGCUUCCAGUAGCUUGACUGUGAACUGGCUUUUGCUAUGGAGUUUCCAAGUAGGCUUGUCUGGACUCAUAGAAAUACCACAAAAAGUGCUUAGGAUUCCCAGUAGGCUUGCUACUUGCCCAAUUUCCCAGUCAUUUAGUGCUCUCUUGAAUAGCAAAUUCCAUCCUUGCAGUGUUAACAAAGGCGCGUGUAAGCCCUUAAGUGAGGCUAUACCCAAAGGCAAGACAUUGUAUAGGAAGUGGCCAAGGGCAAGGGCAGCUUAAUGGAAUUUGUGGCCUAAAGCCAAACCUUAACAAACGGCCAUAAAUAUAUAUAUUCCAACAACAAUAACAACAUACCUAAUGUAUUCCCACAAAGUGGGGUCUGGGGAGGGUAAAGUGUACGCAGUCCAUACCACUACCUCAAAUGAAGUAGAGACGUUUCCGAUAGACCCCAGGUCUGGGAUGAAUAACAAUAUAACAAGCAGAAAACAUUAACAACAAACAACAAAAUGGGGUAACACACCACUAGAUAAUGAAAGAAACAAGAAAUCCACCGAGUAAUAUUAUGAACUAUCUAUCCGAAAUCACAAAUAUCACCAAAACAACACGAACAAGAAACCACAGGACACAUGCAUAACAUUAUGACUACAGGUACAUCGACAAACAAAGUACUCCCUACUAGUAAGGACGCACUACUACCUACUAACCCUCUACCCUAUCUGCGUCCUCCACACCGUCCUAUCAAGGGUCAUGUCCUCUGUAAGUUGUAACUGCUCCAUGUCAUGUCUAAUCACUUCCCUUCAAUAUUUCUUCGAACUACCUCUACCCCAUUUGAUACUAUCCAUAGCGAGCCUCUCACAUGGAGCAUUCAUGCACCGCCUCAUCACAAGCCUAAACCAUCUCAACCUCAACUCCCGCAUCUUGUCUUCCACCGAAAUCACUCUCACCUUCUCUCAAAUAACCUCAUUUCUAAUUCUAUCCCUUCUAGUAAGUCCGCACAUCCAUCUCAACAUCCUAAUCUCUGCCACCUUCAACUUUUAAAUAUGGAAGUUUUUAACUGGCCAACACUGCACUCAAUACAACAUAGUCGGUUCGAAGUGCCAUUUUGUCGAACUUACCUUUAAACUUAGGAGGCACCUUCUUAUCACACAAGGCUCUCGAAGCGAGCUAUUUCAACCACCCAGCACCAAUACGGUGCAGGUGCAUGACAUCCUCGUUAAUCUCUCCAUUCCCCUGAAUCAUAGACUCAAAACACUUAAAACUAUCUCUCUUUCGAAUGGCGUGAGAAUCCAGCUUCACUACCACGUCAUCCUCAUACGUCAAAUCACUAUAGUUACACUCCAAGCACUUCGUCUUGGUCCUGCUCACCCUUUCCUUUAGGGGUCUUCUGGUGAGGUAUAAGCCGGAAUAAAAUGUAGGAUUAUUUUAUCCCAUGUUUGGUUGGAGGUAUUAGUUAGCCAAGAGAUUAUUAUCCCACCAUUUAUGCUUUAGUGAUGGGAUAAGUUAUCCCAAACUUUCAUAGUAUGACUCAACAACUAGAUACCCCUAUAGUUGUUGCAACUCUAAAUGUCUCCCUUGUUAUUAUAUAAAGGAAUCAUCGUGCUCCAUUGCCAAGCUUUCGGCAUCUUCAUCGUCCUAAAAAUGAUGUUAAACAACAUUGUCAGCCAUUUCAUCCCUGCCCCACCAGUGCUUUUCCAAAAAUCCACCAGAAUCUCGGCUGACCCAGUCGCCCUACUUAAACGCAUCCUACGAAUAGCACCCUUGACCUCCUCCAACUUAAUACGCCUACAUAACCAUAAUCGUGACACCUCUUUGAGUGCUCCAAGUCCCACAGCACUAAACCUUCGACCCCCUCGUCGUUCGAAAAUCUAUCAAAAUAAGACUGUCACCUCCUCCUAAUGGGGGUGUCAUCCACCAACACUUUGUCAUCCUCAACCCUUAAUGCACUCCACUUGGUCAAGGUCACGGGCCCUCUGCUCCCUAGCCUUGGCAAGCCUAUACAACUUCUUAACCCCACCUUUCUCAUCUAUAGCCGCAUACAAGCUCUCAAAAGUUUGUCUUCGUUGCUGUAACCGCUAACUUAGCCUCUUUACUAGCUAACUUAUACUCCUCCCUAUUUGUCCGCUUCUCCUCGCCAUCCUUGAUCUUAGCCAACUUCGCAUAAGCCACCUUCUUAGUCUCUACCUUAACUUCUUCGUUCCACCACCAAAAUAACUAUAUAUAUACCAAUCAUGUUAUUCUAUGUCUUAGUUUGACCUGGCAUGAAGUUUAAGAAUGUAAAACUUAAGCUAGAGGUAUGUAUGCCAUACUAAUUUUUUAAUCUUCUGAUCUUAAACAUGUCAUGCUAUUCCUAUAAGACAGUGUGGAAUUAAUGCUAUAACGAAAAGUACGGUUAGCAACUUAUUAAAUUCAGAAAGAUACAUUUUUUUAAAAUAGAUUAAAAAAGAAAGUGAGACACAUAAAUUAAGAUAGAGGAGUAUUUGAUAAGACUGAUAUAUAUCUUUGUAUAAUAUGAGAAUCAAACAAUGAACAUACGAAAAAAUACAGCAACAUACUCAGUUACUACCUAGUGAGGUCAGGGGAGGGUAAAAUGUAUGAAAAAAUGAAAAAGGGUAUGCACUUCAAAUUAUUUAUAGCUCAUUUAGAAAAUAUUUGGCUAAAGUUGAAAAAUGCCUAAUUGAAAUUGAAAAAAAGAAAUAUCUGGAUAUUGAAACUUUGUUUGGACAUGAAUUUAACUUGGAAAAAGUUGAAUUUUGUAAGUGAAAAUCAUUAUUUCACUUUAAAUAAAUUAUAUAUAUGAUAUAUCAUUAAUUAUAUACAUCAUAUAAUAGUAUUUAGCAUUUUUUGGGCCUAAAGCAAGCUUUUUACUUUCUUUAGGCUUAUGUUGGCAAUGCCUUAGGGUAGUGUAUCACUUGCAUAAAAGAAAAUCACAAUGUUAUAAGCUAGAUAAGUGUAGACUUGCUGCAAAUGCCUUUCUAAAAUUUACCAAACAUUAAGGUCUAGAUAUCUGUUCAUACUUCAUAAUUCAGCAACUUAUACCCAACCACAUAUGAAUUUACACUCUUAAGUGACCACAACAUCUAAGUCCAAGGGAAGGAGACGUUUUGGCAAACCACAAGUUAGAAUAGAUAGCUUUCAUGUGUAUCCAUUCCCGAUGUAAACCUACUUUCCUAAUUAAGGUACAUCAAACCCUAAGCAGUCCUUUGGUUGUUGGUUAGAGAUAUGCAGGUAUCAAUAAUUGAUAUGCAGGUAUCAAUAAUAUGCAGGUAUCAAUAAUUUUGACCAAAUCCAAAUUGUAAAAAAAAAAAAAAAAAAUCGAGUCGGUUAACCAGCGAGUCCGAACUGAGUUUGGUCCAAACCGGGGCCCAAAUCAAAAAAUAACCCAGUCCGAGACCCUGUAUCCUACAACCCGUGGGCUAACCGGGCCAUGUUUGCUUAGUGGGCCGGGCUGAAUCGAGUCAGAUCGGUCAGCCCGGCACGUUUGACAGACUUACUUUUGGUUGAGCCUAUGUAAAAGUUCAAUUAACUACUGCUGAGUUUAAGGCUUUAUUUUAUUUUUAUUAAGAUUAAGAUGUUAGUAUCAGAAUUACAUUUAAAUAUUAAGAGGCGUACGAUUGAGAUUUAUAUGUUUGAAUCUGAUAAAAUACACAUAAUAUUAGGAUGUUGUAUUAAAAUCUCUAAAUACUAAUUAAUAAUCAAAACUAUUUGUUUUUUUGAACAUUUGAACAUUUUGGUGCGAUUGUUGUGGUAAUGUUGAUUGUGAUAAUUGUAAAUGGUAAUUAGUGGUUGUGGAUGGUGGUGGCUAGCGGCGAUAAUUGAUAAUGAUUGGUGAUGGCGGCAGGAAUAAAUAAAUGAAGUUAACUGUCAGUUUUAAUUUUAAGUAAAUAUCUUGAUGAUAUUAAGAUUUUAUUACAAAAUUUAAUCAUACAAAUAUAUUGAGACUCAUUAAGUGUUUAAACAGACUUAAUAACUGAAAUUGAAUCAUUAAGAUUAAUUAAGACCCUCGUUGACAUCUUGAAAACAGGAGUAUUCAAACGUGAAAGAAUUUGUUAUGUUAAAUGGUUGGAAAGUAAAACACGUACUGUAGAUUAAAGUAACAAUUAUUUUGUGGUAGUUCCUUUGCCUAGUACUCUCCAAGCUAGUUUGAAGAAAAUUAAAUAUUUUAAUACUACACAAGUUAGGUUAUACCCAAAUCCGCCUAUCUUUUUAAUUGCUACAAAAGAUAAUAUUAAUUUGUUUUGACAUUACUUAGUCAAAAGUACCACUAGGGGCAAUAUUAGUGAAAAAUAGUCACUAUAAAUUAAAUGAAGAAUUUAAAAGCAGAAAGAAAUCCUUCUCCAUUCUGUAUGCUGCCCAUUUUAGCAAAUCAGUUUACUAUCUGUGGAAGGUGUGGAAUCUUAGCUGUGGCGGAUUUAAGAUUUAGGGGUUGUGAUGCUUUGAAGGUUCAAAUACACAUAUUGACGUUUAAAGCUUUAAAAUUCUACUUGGAAAUCAAAAUAUCCAACUAUCUUCUUGGUUUCAAGGGUAUUUAAGAAAACCCUAUAUCAUUUUUUAUAAUUUCAUAUAUAAUUAUACUUAAUUUGUGUUUUGCGUCGUGUUUAAGGGUGCCUAAGUGCCACAAAAUAACACAUAGGUCCCUUGAAUCUCAGGAACUCGGUAAUUUACAUGCAUUUUUUAUAUUUAUUUUGAAAAAUAUAUCUAUCAAAUAUAUAAGAAAUAUUUGUUAGAACCUAUUAACAAAAUAAUCUCUAAAGUCCACCGGUAGAAAUGAAACUUGCUUUAGCUUUGUUACAUUCCAAUUGGUGAGAGUUCAAUUUCUCUUGUUCACAUUUUCGCCCAUCUCAAUGAUCUCUUGUACACAUAUAUAUAAUAUAGGAGUAGUUAUAUUUUAAUUUGAAAUUGCUGAAAACUCAUAUAAUUUAAAUCAUGGAACCGUCUGACUGUUUUUAAUCUCCUUUUAUGUCUGUUAGGUUUUAUUCUGCGUACUACUCUUCUUUUAUAUGGCAAAAAUGGUAUUAUAUGUACUAAUUAAAUCCAACGUAUUCCAUUAUAUAAAUUUUUGACGUACUGAUAAUCACAGUGAAAUUAAAUCACCAGUACUAUUGCCUCAGAAAAAUUAAAUAUAUAUUGGAAAAAUCAUGAGUAAAUGUUACAGUACAGUCAAUGAUAAAUUCAAAUGUAGGGUCUCAUUUUAUUAAAGCAAAAUACAUACACAGUAAUUAUUAUGAGCAUUUUGUAGACAAUGAAUGCAUUAAGAGUGUGUCCAGUAGGAAGGAAAAUAUUUUUUAAAAAAAUUGUUUUCCAGGAAACGUGAAAAAAGAAAAGGAAUAUGGUAGGUUCAUAUAAUAUAGCAUCGAUGUGUAUGAUAAGUAAAGAUAUAAUCAAGUUAACAUGAAAAGUCAGUGAAAUAGAGAUUCAUCCCACUAUUGUACAAAUUUAAGUCGUGACAUGAGAUUAUUUUAAAGCACAAGAAAAAGAUAUAAAUCUAGUUGAAGCUCAGGAACAAGAAAGUCAACUAGAUUAAUGUUUCUAACGACAAGAACAAUAACCACAUAUUCAGUAUAAUCUCACUUGAAUUUGAGACAAAUGAUGUGUAUGCAUAUCUUACCCCUACCUUACGAAGGUAGAGAGUAACUAGUAGAUUUUAAGUAUCCAACAAUGUCACUCAAUCCAUUCACAAAAUAGGUGGAAAAUAUGCAAUCCAAGCAAGGCUUUAAUUAGCACCACCAUAACAUAAUAGACAAAAUCCUCAAAUAUUAAGAUAAGAAAUACAGUUACAUCUUUGAAAUUACUCUGACCAUGUUCCAGCUCUACCAAAUAAUGAGCAUUUGAUAUCUUCAGAGAUGACUACUUACUCAAUCAACCUGAGAAAAGCAAAUAACAAGCAAAUGAACUCAAGAAUAUUUGAGAUACAAAAUACUAAGACACAAUUCAAUUAUAUAAUUAAAAGUGUACUAGUCUUUAUGAUAGUCUAAACUUUUGUUAAGAUUGACACAGUUCAACAUGGUAUGAGCAAGGGCAAAUCCAACUAUACAGCUCCAGGUCAUCUGAAUUCAGUACUCACAACAUUAGAAUAUAAAUUUAUGCGUAAAAAUGUAUCCAAAAUUCCAGUAGUUAAUAGGCUUGAACUCAUAAUAUAGGAAAAUACAACGGAUUCAAUGCUUAAAAUCUUAACGUUGAACUCAUAAAGCUUAUAUCCUGAAUCCGUCUCUAGCCAGACAUCAAAGUAAGCGACUAGGUAUUGUGUUCAAAUCUCACCGACACCUAAAAAGCAAGAAACUAUCUCCGCAUGUAAAAAAAGGCAGCCGAUGGACUAAAACUCCCACAAUACAUGAGGUUUAGGGAAGGGUCGUCAGAGCCACAAGGGCUAUUACAUGCGGCCUUACCCUGCUCUUCUGCAAGAGGCUGUUUCCACGGCUUGAACUCGUGACCUCCUGGUCAUGACAAUAACUUUAAUUUACUAGCUACUCCAACGAUCCCCAUCAAACUAUCUCCACGUGUGCUUCAGUUAAGUAAUUCAAGUCGUAUUUUCUCAGACAAUUUAAAUUAUUUUUAGAUGAGAUCAUCACACAUACUGUUCAAUUGAAAAAUCACAGGUAAAAUGAAUAAAUAUCCUAGUUAUAGUGGUUUAUUGACUGAAUAAAUACCCUAAUAAAUAAAUGAAACAAACCUUUUAAUAAAACCAUUAAUCAAUGGUGAUGAGAAUUAGGAGAAGCAGAGGAAGGGUCUUGAUGAUGUUCACCAUGGAUCCUAGCUGGAACUUGAAAAUCUGUAGUGAAAUGUCUGCUAUUAUUGGUAAUUUCUGCCUGAUGAAUUAGUCCAUUCAUUAAUGGCCUUUCUUCCCAAGUAGCAUGAUGAUUAAUCAUUUGUGAAAAAUUGGACUGAAGGGGUUCCCUUUGAGUAAAUGCACUUUGAGUAGUGAAAAAUGUUUGUGGCAAUAUGUUCCAACUUGCCAUUCUUGGAUAAUUUGCUUCAAAAUUUUGAUGAUUUGAGAAAAGGGCAUUUUGGUCAUUAUCAGAAGAAGUUGCCCUAUGAAAAGUAGUGUGAAGAGAUAAGCCAAGAUCUUCGUUUUGUAACGAAGAUCUUGGCAUUAUCUCAUGUGGGUAGUUUUGGAAAUUCAUUAGCGGAGUACCCGAAUUCAUUGGGAAAAAUGAUUUCAUAGUAUCUCCAAGUGAUUGUGGUGCUUCUCCGCCUGUAGAUGGCACUUGCAUCAUGUAGGAAUUAGAAGAAUUAACCUGAUGACUCGAGUUAUUUUCUUCUAAUUCCUUCUGAAGCUGAUAUUCCGACUGUUGUUGCCCCAACACUGCAUCAUCAGCUUCUUCUGUAGUACUUGGAACCUGAUUCGGGUUCCAAGGAGGCAACUCAUCUAACUUAUCAAUGGCAUUUUUCGCCUUUUUGAUAAGCCAAUCAACCGCCUUACUAGGCCGGUCAUAACCCAACCUGUCUUGCACAUCAUAAAAUUGAAUAGCAGUGUGAGCCGCUAAACGGACCCUUCUAUCUCUUGGUCCUUUCGCGGUAUAAACUUUGCUGUGCCGGUCUUUUCUACCAGUAGACCGGAGAAUAUGACCUCCUUCGACUUGUACUAUCUCUCCUCCUCCCGUUGCUCUCUUCAUUAUAAAUCUCUCUGCAUAGUCCUUCACCUUUUUAGUGCUGAAAUGAUUCGGAUGUAUAUUCAGAUUCAAACUAAACAAAAAUUUCAGCUUGCUAAUUUUCUCUUUUAUGAUUACCACAGGCACUUUAUAAAAUCUGAAAAUGAACCUGCUAGUGUUGCAGUAAUACUAGUGAUGAUAUCUGAUGACGCUGAUCCCGAGGAACACUGACAAGGUACGCUACAAAUCCCAUAGGCCUAAUGAAACUUCUUUGUCCAAAAUCUCAAAUAUCAAAGACAAAAAGUAAUAAAAAGAAACCUAAUUAAAGUUGAAAAUUUUGGAAUAGUGUUGCAAUAUUGAAAGUACUGGUAUUUAGUUUAGGUUUUACCUCUUAGCUAGGGUUAAGAUUUAUUUAUUUUUUUGAGAGAGAGAAGGGUGAAGGAGAAAGGAAAAUAAAAGAAUUUAAGUUUAUAAGGAUGAAAAUAAAAUGAAUGGAACAAUGGGGUUAUAGAGAAGGACUUUAUCUUUUUUGGCCUCUCAUGAUCAUGGAGUAGUAGUACUGAUUUGGACAGUUACAGCACGUCGACUUUACUUUUUCUUUUCUUUUCUUUGUAUUAUGCUUCCAUCAGUAUCAAUGUGGAAAAAUAAUACUAGGGGAAAAAUAAACGAUAUAUAAACAUAUGUUUUCUAUUAGCAAUGUAUAGGUUUGCUUUGGGUUGGAUAAAAUAUUUAGGUUCAAGUUUUGUGUGAAACUUAACUUGAGGGUGGUCCGUAUGAAGGAAAAUGUUCUCUUGGGAAACAAAUAAGUUUUUUAACUUAUUUUUUUGUUUUCAAUAUGUAAGUAAAAAAAAAUAUUUAAUAUAACAUAGACAAAUACUAUGGGAGGUGUCGAUAGGAGUAUGAGACGGUGAAGUCGUGAAGAUGGGGUUAUGGGGAUAGGAUGAAGAUGAUCAGGUGUGUUGAAGCGUGGAGGAUGAUACAAUUAAUGUAUUUCUUAAUAGUUUUAUAGAACCUCGCAAUGAAGAUUAUUUCAGCUCAAUCAUUGAUUCGAUAGCAAGUUCACAACCCAUAAUCUUCAAAUUUUAAUUUCGCUCUACCGCUAACAACUUUUAUCUAAAUGGAUAGUUUACUUUUUCUUUCUAGAUGAUAGUCUAUUGAUCAUUUAAUUUAGACUAUUCCUUAUCUAAAUGAAUAGUAUUUGUUGAAAUUCAUCAAGUAUCUAUGAACAUAUAGCGGUGGUACUAUGUUGCUAUGCUAAAAUUUAAUGCAGCAUGAUAAAUUUAUUCAAAUUGAUGACCAAAAUUCUCAUGAGACAUAUACCAUAUUUUUAGUAAGUUACAUGAAAUGAUCAUGGUUAAACUAGAAUUUAUGAUUUGCAGGAUCUUCUUAUGGAACUAUACAGAAAAAACUUUUUUCACUAAGAAAAUUUAUAUUUAGGGUAUUAAUUAAACUUUAAAAGAGUGAUGAGCUAAUUCAACUCUAAUGGUCCCAAUACAGCAAUAUAUAUAGACCCACCCUCAUUGAAACAUGAUAGUGAUUCUAACAGCUUUUUGAUUCCCAUCUGAAAGUUUCACAUUCGGGUAAAACACUCUUUAACAAAUGCGAUUCCACAUGCAGCAGGGUUCAAAACUAAGUUUUUUGAUUAUGAAUAACAAAAUAUUUAUCACUCUACUACAAUCAUUGUUAAUAACUUUUGUAUACUAUAUAUUAUCAGUUAAUAAAUCCAACCAUAUAUUACUAACUAUGAACAGUUUUAACUAAUUAAAUUUAAAGCUUCUGAUUGCCAUCAAUUUAACGAAGGAAUAUGAUUGUUCUCAAUUUUAAUUAACAUAUAACAUAUAUUGUUUCUAUGUUUACUUUUAGAGAGAGCUAACUCCUUUUUAUAUUUAUGGUUUCAAUUUUCAACCUUUUCUUUGACAAGACAAAGAAAGUUGGACUUUACCUUAAAAAGGGAAAAAUAAUGAACGAAAAAUCAAUAAUUUCUGGAAUGAACUCAACAACAUCUAUUGCAAAAUACGAACAAAUUGCAAUACAAACAAAUCUUAGAAACAUAUGUGAAUGUCAUUCAAAGCGACGCUAAAUUGACUUAAACCAGCAAUUACCAAAUUAGCCUUGUUAAUAUGGGCAAUACAGAUCAUCCAGUUGUUGAUUAAGAGUUGACCAAUGUGUUGCCAUUUCAAUAAGGCACAAUUCUUUCUCUUCACAGCACAUGAACUCCACUACACUAGGCUAUCUCAAUAAAAUGAGUGACGUAAAGCCAAAUUUCAACCCGAGAUCUUUAAAAAUAAAUAUAUACAUGAUAAAUUAAAAAAUUAAUGUUAUUUUUCUUGUUUGUAGUUAGUAUUAUAUUUCACAUAGUAAUAUUAUUAUUUAUAAUAUUAAGGAUUGAUUCAAGUUAAUAAAACGUUAACCAUGCGUUGUUAAUACAUACGUUGGAUGUUAUUGUAAAUAUAGUAUUUAUUAUUACAAAGAUUUGAGUAGUUUAAUUCAAAGUUUCAAAAUAUUUUUACUGAAUGAUGAUAGUUUUUUUUUAUUAUUAUAUUCAAUAUUGUAAAAAAGAAAAAAAUCAUAAAAUUAACAAUUAAAUUUUUUUCAGAUCUUUAGAUUUUGAGAGCCUAAAACAAAAGUUUUACUAGUCACUAUAAUUUCCCUUUCUUAUCUAACUUGCAUUCCCCCUUUUUCACAAUUUAUUGCCUUACCGUUUCAAACGAAAAAUUAUGAUUUAAUUUGUGCACCUUGUACGCUGUCAGAUCAUUUUAAACAAUAUAAAAAAAUAAGCAUUUAAUCAUUCUUAAAAAGAAAGGAUACAUGACGGUGUACAUCCUAUUUUUACGAUGAUACUAAGGGACCAUGCCAUCAUACUUCUUAAUUGUACUUAAAAAGGAAAAAAAAAAAAGAUACAUUACCUAUUUAUAAUAUAUAAAAUAAUGAUAUAUAUAUAAUCUAUAUCUAUAUCUAUAUUUAUAAUAUAUUAAAAGUGUCAAGGGCCUUAAUAGAGAUUAGUUAUAAACGGACUUAGACUGCCAGCACUAUAUACAUAUGCCAGUAAAUUGAGACAAUGCCCAAUUUAAAAAAGACCAAGAGAGAGAGAGAGAAGCAACUGAAGCCAAACUAACAGCUGAGCUUCACCA